RNAcentral lists this ribosomal RNA (413 nucleotides) under uncultured bacterium. RNAcentral's name for it is "bacterial SSU rRNA". It matches the Rfam family "Bacterial small subunit ribosomal RNA", at positions 917 to 1333 of the family's 1533-position model. The record is from RNAcentral.
GGGCCCGCACAAGCGGUGGAGCAUGUGGUUUAAUUCGAUGAUACGCGAGGAACCUUACCAGGGCUUAAAUGUAAGUUGCAUUAGUUAGAGAUAGCUAUUUCUUCGGACCACUUACAAGGUGCUGCAUGGUUGUCGUCAGCUCGUGCCGUGAGGUGUCAGGUUAAGUCCUAUAACGAGCGCAACCCCUAUCGUUAGUUGCCAGCGAGUAAUGUCGGGAACUCUAACGAAACUGCCAGUGCAAACUGUGAGGAAGGUGGGGAUGACGUCAAAUCAUCACGGCCCUUACGUCCUGGGCCACACACGUGCUACAAUGGUAGGUACAGAGGGAAGCCACCCCGCGAGGGGGAGCGGAUCUACAAAACCUAUCUCAGUUCGGAUCGGAGUCUGCAACUCGACUCCGUGAAGCUGGAAUC